RNAcentral lists this ribosomal RNA (802 nucleotides) under uncultured Rubrobacter sp. Its description in RNAcentral is "bacterial SSU rRNA". It matches the Rfam family "Bacterial small subunit ribosomal RNA", at positions 8 to 796 of the family's 1533-position model. The record is from RNAcentral. Lineage: Bacteria; Bacillati; Actinomycetota; Rubrobacteria; Rubrobacterales; Rubrobacteraceae.
AGAGUUUGAUCAUGGCUCAGGACGAACGCUGACGGUGUGCUUUAGACAUGCAAGUCGAACGAGAAAGCCCUUCGGGGUGAGUACAGUGGCGAACGGGUGAGUAACACGUGGGUAACCUGCCCCUCGCAGGGGGACAACCGGGGGGAAACCCCGGCUAAUACCCCGUACGCUCCGAGGUCCGCAUGGUCCUCGGAGGAAAGGUAGCUUCGGCCAUCCGGCGAGGGAUGGGCCCGCGGUACAUUAGCUAGUUGGUGGGGUAACGGCCUACCAAGGCGACGAUGUAUAGCUGGUCUGAGAGGAUGAUCAGCCACACCGGGACUGAGACACGGCCCAGACUCCUACGGGAGGCAGCAGUCGGGAAUCUUGCGCAAUGGGCGAAAGCCUGACGCAGCAACACCGUGUGGGCGACGAAGGCCUUCGGGUCGUAAAGCCCUGUUGUUGGGGACGAAGGGCGAAGGGUUAAUAGCCCCUAGCCUGACGGUACCCUUCGAGGAAGCCCCGGCUAACUACGUGCCAGCAGCCGCGGUAAUACGUAGGGGGCGAGCGUUGUCCGGAAUUAUUGGGCGUAAAGAGCGUGUAGGCGGUUCGGUAAGUCUGCCGUGAAAACCUGGGGCUCAACCCCGGGCGUGCGGUGGAUACUGCCGGGCUAGAGGAUGGUAGAGGCGAGUGGAAUUCCCGGUGUAGCGGUGAAAUGCGCAGAUAUCGGGAGGAACACCAGUAGCGAAGGCGGCUCGCUGGGCCACUCCUGACGCUGAGACGCGAAAGCUAGGGGAGCGAACAGGAUUAGAUACCCCGGUAGUCC